GGACUCGUAGCUCAGUUGGUUAGAGCGUCACGUUGACAUCGUGAAGGUCACAAGUUCGAGCCUUGUCGAGUCCA
Molecule: transfer RNA, 74 nt
Filed under: Candidatus Omnitrophota bacterium
Lineage: Bacteria; Pseudomonadati; Candidatus Omnitrophota
Description: tRNA-Val
Rfam family: tRNA
About the family: Transfer RNA (tRNA) molecules are approximately 80 nucleotides in length.
Source: RNAcentral